This 513-nucleotide ribosomal RNA is filed under the name uncultured bacterium. RNAcentral describes it as "partial 16S ribosomal RNA". It matches the Rfam family "Bacterial small subunit ribosomal RNA", at positions 30 to 523 of the family's 1533-position model. The record is from RNAcentral.
AUUGAACGCUGGCGGCAUGCCUAACACAUGCAAGUCGAACGGCAGCACAGUAAAGAUUUCGGUCUUUAUGGGUGGCGAGUGGCGGACGGGUGAGUAAUGCGUAGGAAUCUGUCCUGGAGAGUGGGAUAACCCGAGGAAACUCGGGCUAAUACUGCAUGAUAUCGAGAGAUCAAAGGCAGGGGACCCUUCGGGGCCUUGCGCUCUAGGAUGAGCGUACGUCGGAUUAGGGAGUUGGUGGGGUAAAGGCCUACCAAGGCGACGAUCCGUAGCUGGUCUGAGAGGAUGACCAGCCACACUGGGACUGAGACACGGCCCAGACUCCUACGGGAGGCAGCAGUGGGGAAUCUUGGACAAUGGGGGAAACCCUGAUCCAGCGAUGCCGCGUGUGUGAAGAAGGCCUUCGGGUUGUAAAGCACUUUAGUUGGGGAAGAAAAGUAAUGAGUGAAUAACUGAUUGCUCUGACGGUACCCAAAGAAUAAGCACCGGCUAACUCUGUGCCAGCCGCCGCCGUAA